CUUCAAGACAAAAGAGUUAUGGGCAAGGAGCCAAAGGUUCUGACCUUACUGGUUUGUGCUUAAUGACGACUUUCCUCCUGCAAACACAGACCUACUUGCUUUUGUUUGGACUGUCACUGUACCAGGAUCGUGGCUGAGAAGCAUACCACAAUAAGCUGUCCUUACAGCACCAGAAAUUGUAAUCAUUGAAGCCUUGCACAAGUACAUCUCAGCAAAAAAGAUGUGUGUAGAGAAUGUAGGGGUGGCAGGAAAAAGACAGCUCACAGCUCUCUAAGUGCCAUGGACCAAGCCAGAUAUUUGCAAAAGACCAUUACUGAGAGAUGUUCCAGAGCUGAGCUGCUUCAUCCACUCCAAACGUCUCCCUUGGAUGUACUGACACGAUGUUGUGCAGCACAGGAACGUGGGAACCUCAGAG
Long non-coding RNA from Gallus gallus (chicken), 415 nucleotides. Lineage: Eukaryota; Metazoa; Chordata; Aves; Galliformes; Phasianidae. The record is from Ensembl.